GCCAUUCUCGUCGGUGCCAUCUCUCCUCCUCGAGUCUUUAUCGCCGUCUGCCCCUCGCCGCGUACUUCCUCUGCUCGUUCCGCCAUUGUCGCAGAUCGUCGCAUCCCCGUCCAGAUAUGCCGUUGCUCGCAUCGCGUCGUUCUUUUCUCAGCGUCGCCUCCUGUGGUAACUUCUCCGGUAACAACAACAACAACAGUCUUCCGGUUAAGCUGAUUUUCUCCUUCAGUCAAGACUUCCGUAGCUCUUGGGAGAUUCCUAUAAAGACCCCAUUACUAGUUUCCGUCUCUUUCACAAAUUCUCUGUUGAACACCCUCAGGCAAGUUCUAACUCUUAAACACUCCUCCUCUUGAUUUAGGUAAUUUGAUUACGCGUCCUGUUAUUGGUGCAGGAGUAUUGGUCCAUUGUUCAUAAGGAACAAUCAGUUUCAUUCAUUGAAGCUCCAAGGUGCAUUUGGAUACUUCUGAUCCCACAAAGCCUGGAGGAACUUGGCUUCCUGGAGCUGUCUUGAAUAUCGCUUAUUGCUGCUUGCAGCCGAGCACACGCCCCUACAAACCAGAUGACAGUUUAGCCAUUGUCUGGAGGGAUGAAGGAUUUGAUGAUACUGAGCUGAAUCAUAUCACACUCAAACAACUUCGACAGCAAGUAACGCUGAUAGCAAAUGCAAUUGAAGCCACGUUCUCAAAGGGAGAUGCAAUUGCAAUUGACAUGCAAAUGACAGCCAGUGCUGUCAUUAUAUAUUUGGUCAUUGUUCUCGCAGGAUGUGUUGUAGUCUCAAUAGCUGAUAGCUUUGCACCAAAAGAAACCGCAACUCGCCUGCACAUAUCUAAGGCAAAGGGUAUAUUCACACAGAAGGAUAAUGUAUCUAAUCAGUGCAAGCAUAUAGUCCACCUUCUCGCAAAUGAGCAAUCUCGGCUUCGAAUUCCAGAUGCAACUGAUCCUGUAAUUCUUUGUUUCUUUCUGAUAUCUCGCCUCCUUGUCUGAUUCAGAUGUUAGGGCAUUCCAGGUAAGGUUUUGAGUUUCUCCAUGGACAUUGUCUUUGUUUUUGCUCGUGGUGGACUUUGUGCUCUGCUUGACCAACAGGCCCAUGCGCGUGCCAUGGAGUCUCUGGUGCAAGCCAAAAUGCGGCACAAGGAGUUUAUUAUAUUGUGCCUUGAAGAUUGUAGUGACUGGAGCAAUGCUACUACAAGGCGUGUUGUGAUGCAGGUUAACUGUGGUACUGCUGUUUUUCUAAAGCCAGAGUUUUACUCCUGUAGUAAAUUGAAUUCGUUGAACUUUGGGGUGGGUUUAACAUACAAAAUCUUCAUUAGCAACCUUGGCAAUAUAACGGCCUACUUCUGCGAUUGCUCUCAACAUGCAGAUUUUGAAAUCCUGACUAUUUAGAAGAUUAUGGGGAAUAACGAUCUAUAAGAAGGAUAGUAUAAGCUUAUAGUACAAUGAUAAUGGGCUACAAUCUAUUUCGGUUGUCUCCUUUUUUCAUUUCUUGUUAUAUUUGAUAAUUACAAUAAUACCAUCUUUUUGUUUUGCUUAAAGCUUUCGCGAGUGAAAUUCCUUUAGAAUUAUCUUUAAAAGAUGGUAUACAAGAUGACCACAUGGUAUCAUUUUUUCAAUUAACUAUAAACUUAUCAACUAAAAGAUAUUCUUAUAAAAUUCUUUAGUGUACUUAUAAAAAUAUUGUUAUCAAACUUUAAAAGUUUUAAAUUGCUAUAGUGAUCAGUGACAUGGCUUUGAUCUUUUAGUUAUUAGGAACAGAGUUCUCUAUUGAAACCUGCUUCCUUGUGAAAUUUUUGAGUUUUGAACAUGUUUUGAGACUUGAAUUGAAUUGGUUUAAUUGAGUUUCAUUCAUUUUUCAUUUUUUUUUUCUUGU
Long non-coding RNA from Arachis duranensis, 1864 nucleotides. RefSeq lists it as uncharacterized. The record is from RefSeq and is a predicted model, not a curated record. The transcript has 7 exons. NCBI's taxonomy places the organism in Eukaryota, Viridiplantae, Streptophyta, Magnoliopsida, Fabales, Fabaceae.